Molecule: microRNA precursor, 61 nt
Filed under: Limulus polyphemus (Atlantic horseshoe crab)
Lineage: Eukaryota; Metazoa; Arthropoda; Merostomata; Xiphosura; Limulidae
Description: Lpo-Mir-96-P1t_pre stem-loop
Source: RNAcentral
UUUGGCACUAGCACAUUUUUGUAUUUUAUUUAUACAACAAAAAUAGUGUUAGUUUCAAGCA